Molecule: transfer RNA, 75 nt
Filed under: Cordylochernes scorpioides
Lineage: Eukaryota; Metazoa; Arthropoda; Arachnida; Pseudoscorpiones; Chernetidae
Description: tRNA-Thr
Rfam family: tRNA
About the family: Transfer RNA (tRNA) molecules are approximately 80 nucleotides in length. Their secondary structure includes four short double-helical elements and three loops (D, anti-codon, and T loops).
Source: RNAcentral
GUCCAGGAUAGCCUAGUGGACAUGGCAUCUGCCCGGUAGGCGGUACACUGUCGGUUCGAAUCCCAUCCCUGGACA